UCCAGACUCCUACGGGAGGCAGCAGUGGGGAAUAUUGCACAAUGGGGGAAACCCUGAUGCAGCGACGCCGCGUGAGUGAAGAAGUAUUUCGGUAUGUAAAGCUCUAUCAGCAGGGAAGAAAAUGACGGUACCUGAUUAAGAAGCCCCGGCUAACUACGUGCCAGCAGCCGCGGUAAUACGUAGGGGGCAAGCGUUAUCCGGAUUUACUGGGUGUAAAGGGAGCGUAGACGGCAGCGCAAGUCUGGAGUGAAAGGCGGGGGCCCAACCCCCGGACUGCUCUGGAAACUGUGUAACUUGAGUGCAGGAGAGGUAAGCGGAAUUCCUAGUGUAGCGGUGAAAUGCGUAGAUAUUAGGAGGAACACCAGUGGCGAAGGCGGCUUACUGGACUGUAACUGACGUUGAGGCUCGAAAGCGUGGGGAGCAAACAGGAUUAGAUACCCCGGUACUU
RNAcentral lists this ribosomal RNA (448 nucleotides) under uncultured bacterium. RNAcentral's name for it is "bacterial SSU rRNA". It matches the Rfam family "Bacterial small subunit ribosomal RNA", at positions 330 to 795 of the family's 1533-position model. The record is from RNAcentral.